This 1167-nucleotide ribosomal RNA is filed under the name Triticum aestivum (bread wheat). RNAcentral describes it as "partial small subunit ribosomal RNA". The record is from RNAcentral. Lineage: Eukaryota; Viridiplantae; Streptophyta; Magnoliopsida; Poales; Poaceae.
AUGCCUGGCCUCCGCCACCCGUCCGUCCUCCGCUCCUUGACGCGCGCAGUCGCCGACAUCACCUGCGCACGCGACGCGCUCCGCCACCUCGGCCCCCGCCGCGAUCACGAGCUGGUCGACUCCGCCCGCGCCUUCCUCCUCUCGCACUCCCACGGAAACCUCGUCGGAUUGGAUAUCGAAGAGAAGGUGGUGGAGAGCCAGGAGGUGGUCCGGUUAGAUGAGGAGCACGAGGCUUACGGUGUCCUGCUGCGGGAGGCGGAGGAGAAGCUGGAGCGGGUGUACCGGAUGGCGAUGCACGGGAGGGACGUGGCGGAAGGGGGCGGCAAGAGAAGGGAGGACGAGGGAUCCGGCGGUGUGGACGAGGAGGUGGUGAGGCUGCUCAAGCAGGCGGAGGAAGGGAGAGUGGUGGAGCAGGUGCGCCUCGCCGACCGCCAGCUGCUCCACCUGCCUGAGCCCUUGGGCCGGAUCCGCGGCCUGCUCGUGCUCGACGUCUCGCGCAACCAGCUCCAGUUGCACAUACACGCACCACUCUGCUCGGCACUCUUCUUUACCGGUGGUUUUGGAUGGAGAUUGCAGGCUGUCCCCGAUGCCAUAGGCGGGCUUCAACAUCUGGAACAACUCCGGCUCGCUUCCAACGUCUUGGUCUCCCUCCCGGAUUCCAUCGGGCUUCUCUCCAACCUGAAGGUGCUCGACGUCUCCGGCAACAAGCUCAGAUCUCUGCCCGACAGCAUCUCAAGAUGCAGGUCACUGGUCGAGCUGGACGCCAGCUGCAACGUUCUGGCGUACCUCCCGACGGGCAUCGGCUACGAGCUGGUGAACCUGCAGAAGCUCUGGGUGCACCUCAACAAGCUGCGCUCGCUACCGUCCUCCAUCUGCGAGAUGCGGUCCCUGCGAAUCCUGGAUGUGCACUUCAACGAGCUCCGCGGCCUGCCCUCCUCCUUCGGCAAACUGGUGGCGCUUGAGUCGCUCAACCUGAGCAGCAACUUCAGCGACAUGCGGGACCUGCCGGCGUCGUUCGGCGACCUGGUCGGCCUUCGCGAGCUCGACCUCAGCAACAACCAGAUACACGCGCUGCCGGACUGCUUCGGAAGACUGGAGCGGCUGGAGCGGCUCUGCCUGGACCAGAACCGCCCAUGGAGGUGGUGGCCAAGGGCGUCGGAGCGGUGA